GAUUGCUUGAAGAGAGAAAAAUGACACAGGACGGAUAACCACCAACUUAAUGCAAAAUGUGUGUGUCAGAGGCCCUCCUUGUUGGCAUUUAUGGAGACUCUUGUCUCCUGCAAACAGAAUCACAGAGCUAAAGGUCAGGUGUAAGACUUAGUUGAGAAUGACACUUCAAUAAAGCCUGGUGGUAAUGUUUAUUGAGCAUUUACCAUGUUCUAAACAUCAUGCUAAGCACUUUAUGUAGAUCAUCUCACUUAAUCCUCACUGCAUUAUGAGCUGGUUUCAAGUAUUAGCACCCUCAUCUUACAGUUGGGAAAAACUGAGGUUCAGAUUAGUUCAUUCAUUUGCUCAAAGUCACAUAGCCCAUAUGUGGCAGAACCAGCAUCUGAACUCAGAUCACUGCCUCCAAAAGCUGAGCUCUUAAAACUAUGUCUUAUAUUAUUAAACAUCAAACAUUAUAAAGCGGUGAAACUCUGUUCUUGUCAUCUGUGUGAAAAACAGUUUUGAUCCAAGAUGUGAUAAAAUCAUUCAAUUAGAGAAUCUUUGAAUUGUAAUGGGUCCUGUGGGAUUAUCAAACCCAACCUCCCACUCAAUGGAGGAAUCCCCUUUCAGUCUAUAGGCCGGUGCAUGUAACAAGUGCUUAAUUGUGUUGAACUGGAGAAGACAUUCUGGCAGCUGAUUAUCCAGUUUCUGCAUGAACCUCUCCCAGUGAUGAGGAGUUCAUUGCCUCCCAACGCAGCCUCUUCCAUGUUAAAAAGCUCUGCUUGCCAGAAUCUUCUUUCUCUGCUGAAAACGACAUUGAUCUGUAGUUUUCCAUCUUUCUCUCAUUGCUCCUCGUUGCAGGAAAAAAGUUGACAGUUUUACGAUUUGAACAUUUGACUGAAAAGUUUUUUGCUGCCAUUCAGUCACCACAUCCAUCGUUGCCUGCCCUUCCCAACCUCCAAAAGGAAAGGGAAACAAAACAUUACGGUUGUAUUUUGUUUCCUCAAGUUUGGUUAAGUUAGAGCAAGAUUUGUUCGCUCAAGACGCUUCUUCCUUAUCCUUUUUAACAUUAAAAUGUUGGAAAGGAAUAAAAGCAAAAAAGGAACAGAACAGUAGAGUCUACUUUCCAAUUACAUCAAUAAAUGGGUGCACGGAGCAUGUUGAAUUCGAUAGAAAUGUUUGCUACGCUACUGGGGCAGGGAGGAAGCCUGUGGUUAAAUCUAUCAAAAGUUUUUGUUGUUUUUACAAAAGUACCGGAGCCAUCUGUGUGCGACCCAGCCAUUAGCUUGGGGUCCUCUCCCUGCAGAAGGAACAAUUAGAAACACCAUGUGCUGGUUCUCAAAACUUGUGCCCUGCACCUCCACCCAGAAGGCUAGAUUUUCCAUUAGUCCCUUAUUUCUAUCUUAUUGGUAAGGAGCUGCUUCUAAACCUUUCUCUUUUCUCCUGACUGAAGGAGGAGGUUAAAUACCCCUUAGAUUUAGGAAGGCCCAGGGAACCACCGAGACGGCGAGACCUCCUGGAUUCCUAGAGAACACUGAGGGGGGGGGAGGGGCUGUGACGCACUUCCGGUAGGUUUUCCCGGACUUGUGUUUGUCUUGAACGUCUGAUUUUCGGCUCGUUGUCUCUCUGCCCGGGCGACCCAGGCCUUCUGAGUUCCCGUCUGCGGGUGGCGGUGGGGACACGAGAUACAUGGUCACUGUCCCUAGCAUCUGGCCCCGGUAGGGUGUAGAGAGAAGCCCCGCACCCUUGGUUCCGUCUGCCCCUGCCCAAACCACCUUUGUGCUUUGACUUAACCUAAAUGAUGGGGUCGAUUAAGAAAGACUGGAGACAAAACAAGGCGCUAGCAUCUUUCUGCCCUUGUACAGAAUCAUAGGAAAACCUUACCAGAAAGUGCAGCUCCGGUGGUUUGGAUCCAGGAAGAAAGAACAACCUAGAGAUGUUCCAGAAAAAAAGAAGCUACAAAAAUUAGGGUGGUCGCAGAUUUGAACCUGUCAAAUCACUGAUAGCAGAACUAAGAGAAGCUCGUUAAAAUCAGCAUGAGAUAAGCAUCCAACAUGCCUAGCCAGAGGCAGAAAAUAGAGCCAAAACUGGACAGGUGGACUCUCAGAGUUCACCCUAACAUCAGAGUUAUCGCUGAGAUAACCCUACUAAUUUCAAAGGUCGUGAACCUUCAUAUCAAGGCAAUCUUGUCUUGAUCUCGACAUCUCUGACCCUUGCUCAGUAUUGUUUUCAUUGGCUGCAAUAUAAAGAUGAUUAGCCCUGAACUAACAACUGCCACCAAUCCUCCUCUUUUUCCUGAGGAAGACUGGCCCUGAGCUAACAUCCAUGCCCAUCUUCCUCCACCUUAUAUGAGGGACACCUGCCACAGCAUGGCUUGACAAGUGGUGUGCAUGUCCGCACCUGGGAUCCAAACCGGCGAACCACAGGCCACCGAAGCAGAACAUGCAAACUUAACUGCUGUGCAACCAGGCCAGCCCCCAACCUUUCCACUGAUAGCCCAAGGCUUACCUGCUAGGAACGCCAGUGAAAAGACAGCACCACUUUCCAGUGACUCAGCAAAAAUUCUGGGCUGACAUCCUUCGGAAUAACAUGAGUCACAUGGUCACCAUUGAACUCAUUACUAUGGCCAGCACAAUGGAAUAUUCUAGCCUGAGUAACUGACCCACCGCUAGAGUCUGGAUGGGAGGAUGGUGAGCCUCUGUGGACUCUAUGGACUGAAAAUUGGGUAGAGGUGUUUCUUUACACAGAAAAUGUUAAUACAGGAAACAGAUGCUGGCAGGUAAAAACAACCCGUCUUCACUAGAGAACUAAUAUUAAUAAGUUAAGGAAACUGAGAUGUUUCAGACUGGACUUUGAGCUGAAUGCAGUAUCUGGAUUGGACUUUGCGUUCUUUCUCUUGGGGAAGAAGUAACUCUAUUCCAUGUGUGGGACAGAGGGAAGAACUGUGGUAGAGAAUGCUAGAUUUCUACAACCCAUUCUCCCUUCUUUCAUAUAUCCAGCUUUCCUACAUCCCCGAGCCUCCCUUGCAAUUAAAUGUGGUCCUAUAAUGAAGUUCUCCUCAAAGGAAUAUAAGCAGAAAGUUUGUAUGCAACUUGUGGCUCUAGCCUGUAAGCCUCCUGUGUACAUCCUUCCACAGCCAGAGUGACCUUCAAAACCAUAUGUUAAAGAUGACAGUGUCAGUCUGAGCCCCUGAAUGACUGUAUUUGAAUAGAACCUACCUUCUUCUUUCAACCUGGAAUGACUGUCCUGAACUAUUUAGAGAACAAAACAAACUUCUAUGUUAUUUGGGCCAUCACAUGUUGGGCCUACUUAUUUUGGCAGUUUGGCCUCCUCUAAGGCAUUUGGUACAGGGAAGUUCUUCCUAUUAUGACACAAAACCUGGAAGUCAUAAAGGACAAGACUGACAGAUUUCACUACACUACAAAAAUGUAAAACUUCUGUAU
Equus caballus (horse) is the source of this 3419-nucleotide long non-coding RNA. The record is from Ensembl. Lineage: Eukaryota; Metazoa; Chordata; Mammalia; Perissodactyla; Equidae.